This 253-nucleotide ribosomal RNA is filed under the name uncultured prokaryote. RNAcentral's name for it is "partial 16S ribosomal RNA". It matches the Rfam family "Bacterial small subunit ribosomal RNA", at positions 524 to 776 of the family's 1533-position model. The record is from RNAcentral.
AACGUAGGUGGCGAGCGUUAUCCGGAUUUACUGGGCGUAAAGCGCGUGUAGGCGGUUUGCCAAGUUGGAUGUGAAAGCCUUGGGCUUAACCCAAGAAAUGCAUUCAGUACUGGCAGACUAGAGGACCGGAGAGGAUAGUGGAAUUCCCAGUGUAGUGGUGAAAUACGUAGAGAUUGGGAAGAACACCAGUGGCGAAGGCGGCUAUCUGGACGGUUUCUGACGCUAAGACGCGAAAGCGUGGGGAGCAAACAGG